GGCAGUGUAGCGUAAUGGCUAAGGAACUGGCCUUGUAACCUAAAGGUCGCAGGUUCGAUUCCUGGAUAAGACACUGCCG
This 79-nucleotide transfer RNA is filed under the name Anguilla anguilla (European eel). Its description in RNAcentral is "tRNA-OTHER". Lineage: Eukaryota; Metazoa; Chordata; Actinopteri; Anguilliformes; Anguillidae. The record is from RNAcentral.